UUCCUUGAGACGGAGUCCCGCUCUGUCACCAAGGCGGUAGUGCAGUGGCGUGAUCUCGGCUCACUGCUGAUACGGCUCCCAUGAGUGGAGGGACACCAGGGCUCUUGUCUUACCUUGAAUUAGGUAAAACAACACUGACACACGUGGAGUGGUUUUAAAGAGCGGAGAGUUUAAUAGGCAAGAAAGAAGGCAGAACUUAGAGGCUUCCCCUUACAGAGACAGAGGGAGGGGGGCUCCAAAGCCGAAAGAGGAGGGCCCCAAGUGUGGUGGACGCCAGCCAGGUAUACAUGCAGAGGCCGGAGGAGGCGAUCUGAUUUGCACAGGGCUUAGCGGAUUGGUUUGACCAGGCAUGUUUUAUUCACGUAGCAGGGAAAAAGCUGGCCCUCCCUUCCUAGCCUUUUAAUAUGCAAAUGCAGGGCGCUGUGACGUUCUACGCAUGUGGGGAUAUGUGGCGGACGUUGCCAGGAACAUGUGGGGCAAGGGCAAGAAGGCAGCAGUAACCGCCAUGUUUGGGAAAAGCUCCAGAAACUCCCCUAGCAAGGCUGGAUCUCUCCAAGCUUCAGAAAGAGGAAGACAACUGAACAGGCAGGGCUCGCAUCUUCUUUAGAGGCGGUGGAGUUGGGGGACAGCUGGUAACAGGAUAGAUAGCAACAACCACCUUGAAGAUAAUGCACGAAGUGUCGGCACUGCACAGUACAUGAAUGAUCUCACUUAACUCCCGUGCAAACCCUAUGCCAUGGCUGCUAUUAUCAUUCACGUUUACAGGAUGAGGAAACUAAUGCUCAUGCAGGGAGCCUGGCCCUUGGACAGCCACCAUACUCUGCAGAAGCCCAGGCUGCGUGGAGAGGCUGACGCUGGUGUCUGGCCAACUGUCCCUGCUGGGCCUUCAGCCUGUAGUCAGCAUCAACAGUCAGGCGUGUGAGUGAAUGAGUCUUCAGAUAAUGCCAGCCCCAGCCUUUGCUUCUUCCAGCCAUGACCCCAGACAUAGUGGAGCAAGGACAAGCCAUCCUCACUGUGAUGUGCCCUGUCUGAAUUUAUGAGCCAUGGAAACUGUGAGAGCACAGGACUCGCUGCUAGUCCUUCUAAUUUCCAGCGGAAAGCAGUCUGUUUUGACGCUUCCCAGGUGUUCAGUCCCAUAGGAGCAGCUGAGUCCUCAAGGCAGCAGCCGGUAGGCAGGCAGUUUGCCGUCCUUGAACCAGCCUGACCAUCUGACUGUGCUACUGCAAGGGAGUGUUAGAGACUUUCUCAAUUUGGUGACUCAUACUCAUCCUCCACUUGGAACAUCCAGUUCUGAACCUUGCCGUCUCCCAGAAAUUGUCAUUCUAGCCUCAGCCUCAUCUCUACAAUGUCCUUUUGGCUUCCCAGUGAUGUUCCAGGAAACUUGUUCAUGCCGGGUCAUCUGUCUCCCGUUUCAGGCAGCCAGCAUGGAAAUGGAAUUUUGGCUCCCAUCCAGGGGGAUGAUUUUAAUUCAGGAUGCAACUGGGCGCUGCCCUUUGACUUCAAAGCCACCCACGUGGUACAGAUAUAGAGUGGUAUAAGGAUUAAUGAAAUACGGUGUAUCGUUCUACUUCAUUUAAUGGCUGCAUCAUGUACCAUGUAUGUACCAUAAUUUGUUUAACUAAUCCCCUAUUGAAGAACAUUAAGGUAAUUAUUAUUGUUAUUAGAUGAGCAGCUGAACCUUGGAAACACACUCUUAAAUGCUUUCCUUCUGAGGAAAAUGAAGGAGCUGGCUGUUUCUUAUCAAGAGGAUCAUGCCCCUUGGAGAUGAUUAUGCCCCAGCCUGAGACACGCUGAUAUCCUCACAGGCUGUUCCCAAUGGGAGGGGGCCACUCAGGGGCACUGGGGUGGGAAAAGAUUGGCUGUCGCCACACCCUUUAAGGAAUGGAUUUUCCAACCAAGGACAGUGAAGGGCAAGCCUCUAAAAUGUCCACUAAUGAAAGAGUAACUACAAUGUUCUUGUAUGCUGCUCUGAUUAUCAUCAUCCCCAGAGCCUUCCUGUACCCUGCCAUGGACUGUGUCUUCCUGGAAGUGCUUGUGGUUUGAUGUUGCCUCCUUGCAGAUGUUCAGAAAGGACUGCUUGCUGGAAAGGAGAGAAGCUGAGAGAUGACCACAUUCCUCCUGGAUUAAUAUGGGCUCCGGUGGCUCCUCCCUGUGAUGUGCCGUGCUCCGUGCCUUGGGACCUUACUAUGUCAUCAAAGGCAGCCACAUUUAUGCAGACAUAAGGGAAGCCAGAAUCUACAAGAACCGUCCCUCCAGGAGGGAAACACUCCACUGAACAGUGUCAAAUGGACCUCUUCAGAACCUGGACUCGAUGGGGGACCACAGAGAGACAGCCAUGGAAGCAGAGGGCAGCUGCCAGCAACUAUUGCUGCCAUGUGCCAAACACGGUUCUUAACAUCUCACGCCUCAACUCUCUUUAAUCUCAUAACAACCCUAUGAGGUAGGUGCUGUUGUCCCCAUUUUGCAGAUGAAGAGGCUGAGGCACAGGAAGAUUAGACACCCAUCCCAAAGCAAGAACCCGAUGGUGCUGGAUGUGAACCCAGGCACUGUGACUCAGGCUCCUACCACUGCACUGAGUGUCUUUCAAUGUAGUUGAAGUAGAGGUGGUCACAGCAGAGAGCAGUCAAGAGGAGACAGAAACUGAGAGAUGGAUACAGAGCUUUGUGAUCAGCAGGGGACUAAGGACAUCCAUUUCUGAGGGGACAACAAAGUGACCAGGCCACCAUAAUAACCCUGAAGGACAAGAAUUUUGUUCCUGUGCACCGGUGGGUAGUGGGACAUCUGAAUGGAUGGCUUCCCAAGCUCUGCAGCCUCAGGUAACAGGAGCCAGUCUUUGUUUCCUGUGGCUUGGAAGAGCCUAACUUGUUUUAUUGUUAAUUGUGCAGAUAAUCAUUGAGUUAAAUGGUCACAGAGAAAGAAAAAAAAAGGGAUGCCCAGGCGUGGUGGCUCACGCCUAUAAUCCCAGCACUUUG
Molecule: long non-coding RNA, 2972 nt
Filed under: Homo sapiens (human)
Lineage: Eukaryota; Metazoa; Chordata; Mammalia; Primates; Hominidae
Description: HSALNT0301493
Source: RNAcentral